CAGGACGAACGCUGGCGGCGUGCCUAAUACAUGCAAGUCGAACGCCAUCGACCUUCUUGGUCAUAUGAUGGAGUGGCGAACGGGUGCGUAACACGUGAGAAACCUGCCCCGAAGACGGGAAUAACCCGAGGAAACUCGGAUUAAUACCCGAUGCCUUCACAUCACCGCAUGGUGGAGUGAAGAAAUGCUCCGGCGCUUUGGGUGGGUCUCGCGGCCUAUCAGCUUGUUGGUGAGGUAACGGCUCACCAAGGCAUCGACGGGUAGCUGGUCUGAGAGGACGAUCAGCCACACUGGGACUGAGACACGGCCCAGACUCCUACGGGAGGCAGCAGUAGGGAAUCUUGCGCAAUGGGCGAAAGCCUGACGCAGCAACGCCGCGUGGGGGAUGACGGCCUUCGGGUUGUAAACCCCUUUCAGCAGGGACGAAAAUGACGGUACCUGCAGAAGAAGCUCCGGCCAACUACGUGCCAGCAGCCGCGGUAAUACGUAGGGAGCAAGCGUUGUCCGGAAUUAUUGGGCGUAAAGAGCUCGUAGGCGGUUCGGUAAGUCGGGUGUGAGAAUCCAGGGCUCAACCCUGGGACGCCACCCGAUACUGCUGUGACUAGAGUCCGGUAGAGGAGUGUGGAAUUCCUGGUGUAGCGGUGAAAUGCGCAAAUAUCAGGAGGAACACCAGCGGCGAAGUCGGCACUCUGGGCCGGUACUGACGCUGAGGAGCGAAAGCANGGGGAGCAAACAGGAUUAGAUACCCUGGUAAUCCANGCCGUAAACGUUGGGCACUAGGUACGGGGUCUUUAUCAAUGGACUCCGUGCCGUAGCUAACGCANUAAGUGCCCCGCCUGGGGAGUACGGCCGCAAGGCUAAAACUCAAAGGAAAUUGACGGGGGCCCGCACAAGCGGCGGAGCACGUUGCUUUAAUUUCGAGGCAACGCGAAGAAACCUUUACCUGGGUUUUGACANGUAGGGAAAAGCCAUAGAGAAUAUGGUGUCCUUUUUGGGCCCUUACACAGGUGGUGCANGGCUGUCGACAGCUCGUUGUCGUGAGAAUGUUGGGUUAAGUCCCGCAACGAGCGCAACCCUUUAUCCUAUGUUUGCCAGCGCGUUAUGGCGGGGACUUCGUAGGAAGANUUGCCGCGUCAAGUCGGAGGAAAGGUGGGGACGACGUCAAGUCAUCAUGCCCCUUUAUGUCCAGGGCUNGCAAACAUGCUUACAAUGGCCGGUACAGAAGGCUUGCGAGAACCGCGAGGUUUAGCGAAUCC
Molecule: ribosomal RNA, 1256 nt
Filed under: uncultured bacterium
Lineage: Bacteria
Description: bacterial SSU rRNA
Rfam family: Bacterial small subunit ribosomal RNA
Source: RNAcentral